GCAGUCGAACGAACUCUGGUAUUGAUUGGUGCUUGCAUCAUGAUUUACAUUUGAGUGAGUGGCGAACUGGUGAGUAACACGUGGGAAACCUGCCCAGAAGCGGGGGAUAACACCUGGAAACAGAUGCUAAUACCGCAUAACAACUUGGACCGCAUGGUCCGAGCUUGAAAGAUGGCUUCGGCUAUCACUUUUGGAUGGUCCCGCGGCGUAUUAGCUAGAUGGUGGGGUAACGGCUCACCAUGGCAAUGAUACGUAGCCGACCUGAGAGGGUAAUCGGCCACAUUGGGACUGAGACACGGCCCAAACUCCUACGGGAGGCAGCAGUAGGGAAUCUUCCACAAUGGACGAAAGUCUGAUGGAGCAACGCCGCGUGAGUGAAGAAGGGUUUCGGCUCGUAAAACUCUGUUGUUAAAGAAGAACAUAUCUGAGAGUAACUGUUCAGGUAUUGACGGUAUUUAACCAGAAAGCCACGGCUAACUACGUGCCAGCAGCCGCGGUAAUACGUAGGUGGCAAGCGUUGUCCGGAUUUAUUGGGCGUAAAGCGAGCGCAGGCGGUUUUUUAAGUCUGAUGUGAAAGCCUUCGGCUCAACCGAAGAAGUGCAUCGGAAACUGGGAA
This 616-nucleotide ribosomal RNA is filed under the name Lactiplantibacillus plantarum subsp. plantarum. Its description in RNAcentral is "bacterial SSU rRNA". It matches the Rfam family "Bacterial small subunit ribosomal RNA", at positions 57 to 639 of the family's 1533-position model. The record is from RNAcentral. Lineage: Bacteria; Bacillati; Bacillota; Bacilli; Lactobacillales; Lactobacillaceae.